Molecule: long non-coding RNA, 572 nt
Organism: Rhincodon typus (whale shark)
Lineage: Eukaryota; Metazoa; Chordata; Chondrichthyes; Orectolobiformes; Rhincodontidae
Exons: 3
Source: RefSeq, a predicted model, not a curated record
UGAUGAUAGAUCUCUUUCAGCCUAUAUAGUCCAGGUGAUCGAUGUAAACAGACAAGGAAGUUUCAUUGUCUACACAGUUUCCAUUACGAGGCCCGUCAAACGUUCAAAAGAUGAGAGCAUCAUGGCGAAUGACAUCCGGCAUGUACUGAAACGGAAAUCAUGUUCAAUUAACCUGGAGACAGGGGAGUCAUACCUCUUGAUGGGGAAGGAUGGCAAGACCCAGGAUCAGAAGAGAAACAUACAGUAUAUUCUUGACUCAGAGUCAUGGAUUGAAAAGAUUCCCUCUGAAGGAAGAUGCAGGGGCUCAAAUUUCAGGAAAAGCUGUGAAGAUUUAAACAAGUUCCUUGAAACCUUUGAAAUUGAAGGCUGUCAAAUGUAAUGACAUUUGAACAUUUUGUUGCUCAUCCCUUGAGCUGCUUCCUCACUGCAAGAUGCAUGCUCCGUUUGAUAACCUGUUCGACUGCAAAAUAACAUUGAAAGACAGCUCAUAUAUAUAGGAGAAAUGUUUAAUCAAUUUGCAUCUCUCAACUGCUUCAGCAUAUUCUUUGUCAUAAACCUUGAACUUGAAUGCA